This 714-nucleotide long non-coding RNA is filed under the name Anas platyrhynchos platyrhynchos (common mallard). Its description in RNAcentral is "lncRNA (ENSAPLG00000025597.1)". The record is from RNAcentral. Lineage: Eukaryota; Metazoa; Chordata; Aves; Anseriformes; Anatidae.
AGCAGAUUUGUCAAACACUUCCCAAGCACUAACAAGAAAUAAUUAAUGAUAUAGUAAUAAAGCCCAGGUUAGUCAUAUGCCAUACAAUGUCAUCUGUACUCUCAAAAGGAUUUAGGCUCAUGGAAGGAAUCUUAAUUUCAGAAUAUUAAUAGUGAUAAACUCUAAAAGGUAAAAAUAGCUGAGUGAAUGACUUAAACUACUGUACUGUAAAGUGAUGUCAUUGUUUAUACUAAUUUCUGUGACUGAAGUCUUGAAGAUUUAGAGCUGUGUUACUGGGAUAAGUCAACUUCAUAUUCACAUCUAGAUAUUUUAUUCCACAAAUAUAAUGAUAGAGAUUCAACAGCAUUUACAGUUGUCAUCACCAGAAAACUCUUGCUGGUCCAGUCUGAGCUCUGUAAAAAGUUAUCAUCCAAACGUGCUGCAGUCUCCAAUCUGAGCCAGCUGAGCACAGGAGCUUUCUGCCAGGGCUUCAAGGACCAUGAAGACACCUGGUGUUGGUUCACAACUGGAACACAUCUGAACCUGGUUCUAGCUAGCCUAGGUGAGUGCUCACUUUGGGUAGGACAAACUCAGGCAAUUCAUUCUGCUGAUUACCUCCAGCAGAAAGGAGAAAGUAGGCAACUGGCAUCUGUUAUGCUAACACAGCUGUUUCCACAGGUUGAGCUGAAAACUUACACUAGUUGGGGGAUUUCUCAUUCAGGUCAUGCACCUUGA